AGUCGACGGCAACACAGCAGUAGCAAUACUGUGGGUGGCGAGUGGCGGACGGGUGAGUAAUGCAUCGGGAUCUACCCAAACGUGGGGGAUAACGUAGGGAAACUUACGCUAAUACCGCAUACGUCCUAUGGGAGAAAGCGGGGGACCGAAAGGCCUCGCGCGGUUGGACGAACCGAUGUGCGAUUAGCUAGUUGGUAGGGUAAUGGCCUACCAAGGCGACGAUCGCUAGCUGGUCUGAGAGGAUGAUCAGCCACACUGGAACUGAAACACGGUCCAGACUCCUACGGGAGGCAGCAGUGGGGAAUAUUGGACAAUGGGCGCAAGCCUGAUCCAGCAAUGCCGCGUGUGUGAAGAAGCCUUCGGGUUGUAAAGCACUUUUAUCAGGAGCGAAAUACUACUGGCUAAUAACCGGUGGGGCUGACGGUACCUUGAGGAAUAAGCCCCGGCUAAAACUUCGUGCCAGCAGCCGCGGGUAAUACGAAGGGUGCAAGCGGUUAAUCCGGAAUUACUGGGCGUAAAGCGUGCGUAGGGCGGGUUAUUUAAGUCUUGUUGUGGAAAUCCCCGGGGCUCAACCUGGGGAAUUGGCAAUGGGAUACUGGAAAACCUAAAGCUAGAGUGUGAUAGAGGAUGGGUGGAAUUCCCCGGUGUAGCGGUGAAAUGCGUAGAGAUCCGGGAGGAACAUCAGUGGCGAAGGCGGCCAUCUGGAAUCAACACUGACGCUGAGGCACGAAAGCGUGGGGAGCAAACAGGAUUAGAUACCCCUGGUAGUCCACGCCCUAAACGAUGCGAACUGGAUGUUGGUCUCAACUCGGAGAUCAGUGUCGAAGCUAACGCGUUAAGUUCGCCGCCUGGGGAGUACGGUCGCAAKACUGAAACUCAAAGGAAUGCUGCAUCGGCUGUCCGUACAAGCUCGUGUCGUGAGUAUGUUGGGUUAAGUCUCCGCAACGAGCGCAACCCUUGUCCUUAGUUGCCAGCACGUAAUGGUGGGAACUCUAAGGAGACUGCCGGUGACAAACCGGAGGAAGGUGGGGAUGACGUCAAGUCAUCAUGGCCCUUACGGCCAGGGCUACACACGUACUACAAUGGUCGGUACAGAGGGUUGCAAUACCGCGAGGUGGAGCCAAUCCCAGAAAGCCGAUCCCAGUCCGGAUUGGAGUCUGCAACUCGACUCCAUGAAGUCGGAAUCGCUAGUAAUCGCAGAUCAGCUAUGCUGCGGUGAAUACGUUCCCGGGCCUUGUACACACCGCCCGUCACACCAUGGGAGUGAGUUGCUCCAGAAGCCGUUAGUCUAACCGCAAGGGGGACGACGACCACGGAGUGGUUCAUGACUGGGGKAUGAAGUCGUAACAAGGUAGCCGUAUCGGAAGGGCGGUGGGGUU
This 1379-nucleotide ribosomal RNA is filed under the name Dyella japonica. Its description in RNAcentral is "bacterial SSU rRNA". It matches the Rfam family "Bacterial small subunit ribosomal RNA". Lineage: Bacteria; Pseudomonadati; Pseudomonadota; Gammaproteobacteria; Lysobacterales; Rhodanobacteraceae. The record is from RNAcentral.